This 54-nucleotide transfer RNA is filed under the name Virgulibracon endoxylaphagus. Its description in RNAcentral is "tRNA-Cys". Lineage: Eukaryota; Metazoa; Arthropoda; Insecta; Hymenoptera; Braconidae. The record is from RNAcentral.
AGAAAUUUAGUUUAAAUAAAAUAUUAAAUUGCAAAUUUUAAGAUAUAAAUUCUU